This 63-nucleotide transfer RNA is filed under the name Dipodomys ordii (Ord's kangaroo rat). It matches the Rfam family "tRNA". Rfam says of the family: Transfer RNA (tRNA) molecules are approximately 80 nucleotides in length. Their secondary structure includes four short double-helical elements and three loops (D, anti-codon, and T loops). Lineage: Eukaryota; Metazoa; Chordata; Mammalia; Rodentia; Heteromyidae. The record is from Rfam by way of RNAcentral.
GGUGGCUCAGUGGUAGAGUCUUGCCUUGCAUGCAUGAGUCCCUGGGUUCAAUUCUUAGCACCA